UCCUGGUUAACCCAGGCAGUCUCAUUAGAGUCCCCAGCAUUACCUGUUGGCAACUAAUGAUAAGGGUUGCGCUCGUUGCGGGACUUAACCCAACACCUCACGGCACGAGCUGACGACAGCCAUGCAGCACCUGUGCAGAGGCUCCGAAGAGCUGCAUCAUCUCUGAUACAUUCCUCUGCAUGUCAAGCCCAGGUAAGGUUCUUCGCGUUGCAUCGAAUUAAACCACAUGCUCCACUGCUUGUGCGGGUCCCCGUCAAUUCUUUUGAGUUUCACCCUUGCGAGCGUACUCCCCAGGCGGCACACUUAACGCGUUAGCUUCGGCACAACUAGGGUUGAGUCCAGUUACACCAAGUGUGCAUCGUUUACGGUGAGGACUAC
Molecule: unclassified non-coding RNA, 378 nt
Filed under: uncultured Chlamydiales bacterium
Lineage: Bacteria; Pseudomonadati; Chlamydiota; Chlamydiia; Chlamydiales
Description: contains 16S-23S intergenic spacer region
Source: RNAcentral